Molecule: microRNA precursor, 93 nt
Filed under: Cajanus cajan (pigeon pea)
Lineage: Eukaryota; Viridiplantae; Streptophyta; Magnoliopsida; Fabales; Fabaceae
Description: miRNA gene-KK1_050398
Source: RNAcentral
AAUGUAUAUAUCAAAUUUAUAAAAAAAUUUAAAAAAAUAAAAUUAUUUGAUACUCUAUUUCAUUAAUUUAAAUUGAGGGAUAAUAAAAAUAUA